GGACGAACGCUGGCGGCGUGCCUAACACAUGCAAGUCGAACGAAGUAUAUUUCGGAUAUGCUUAGUGGCGGACGGGUGAGUAACGCGUGAACAAUCUGCCCUGUACACAGGAAUAGCCUCGGGAAACUGGGAUUAAAACCGGAUAACACUUCUUGGUCGCAUGACUUAGAAGUCAAAUUGAUUUAGAGGUACAGGAUGAGUUCGCGUCUGAUUAGCUAGUUGGUGAGGUAAAUGGCUCACCAAGGCGACGAUCAGUAGCCGGCCUGAGAGGGUGAACGGCCACACUGGAACUGAGACACGGUCCAGACUCCUACGGGAGGCAGCAGUGGGGAAUAUUGCACAAUGGAGGAAACUCUGAUGCCAGCGACGCCGCGUGAGUGAAGAAGGUCUUCGGAUCGUAAAACUCUGUCCUUGGUGAAGAAUAAAAUGACGGUAGCCAAGGAGGAAGCCCCGGCUAACUACGUGCCAGCCGCUGC
RNAcentral lists this ribosomal RNA (476 nucleotides) under uncultured bacterium. Its description in RNAcentral is "bacterial SSU rRNA". It matches the Rfam family "Bacterial small subunit ribosomal RNA", at positions 27 to 518 of the family's 1533-position model. The record is from RNAcentral.